GCGCGCUCUUGAACUCGUGAUUUCGGGCUUGACUGUGGCGUUGUUUUGUUGUUUGUCGUUGGGGCAGCUUCGCAGCUGUAAUCGCAGGUACUCUGGUCAAAUUAAAAAUCAAAUAAGAGUGGUAACAACUUCAAAUGUAAAAGAGCGCUAGCUUUCUUUCUCUCUCUGUGGAAGCACUUUUAAGUAAAACUGCUAUACUAUCAGGGCGCUGAACAGGAAGGGGCUGCUGAAUAACGCUACAACAUUUAACAUAUUGCUAAUAAUAAUACUUCGCUAAAUCUGCGGUUUAGCUUUGCUCCAGGGAGCCACAUUUUGUACUUGAGCGUGAGAAACCUUGCAGAAGGCUGUGAUGAGAUUGCCAGCCAUGCGUUGCUCAUGUCGGUGCUACUUUUGUGCCCCGCAAGAGCUGAGCGAACUGGACGAGGGGGAAGAUACCAGUUCAAGCCAGAGGUGAAAAUGCAGACAUAUGAGAGAUGUCUGAGCUGUUGAAGUCACCCAGUCAUAGUUGUGAUUGUUAUAAGAUGUGCUGCUUAAAGAGGAGAGAAAAAAAUCUCACAACUGUACUUGAAUGCUUUCAGAGAAAGUUGCCUGCAAUUAUAAAUGUGGACCCUAGUAGAAAUGCA
Long non-coding RNA from Polypterus senegalus (gray bichir), 623 nucleotides. RefSeq lists it as uncharacterized. The record is from RefSeq and is a predicted model, not a curated record. The transcript has 2 exons. NCBI's taxonomy places the organism in Eukaryota, Metazoa, Chordata, Cladistia, Polypteriformes, Polypteridae.